This 393-nucleotide ribosomal RNA is filed under the name Amathia vidovici. RNAcentral's name for it is "partial 16S ribosomal RNA". The stretch from base 149 to 346 matches the Rfam family "Archaeal large subunit ribosomal RNA", at positions 1797 to 2106 of the family's 2987-position model. The record is from RNAcentral. Lineage: Eukaryota; Metazoa; Bryozoa; Gymnolaemata; Ctenostomatida; Vesiculariidae.
ACCAGUAAAAAGGUAAUCAAUAAAAUGUAAGAAUAAUUAUAGCAAAUUCAUACAAAAAUAGAGAGCACUUGAACAAAACACCAACACUCAAACAAAAAAGAAUAGCAUAAGUAUAAAAUUUGACAAGCAAUAAAACUCAAAAGAAAAAUUUAAUAAAGGAACUCGGCAAAAGAGUUGAGCAAAAACUGUUUAACAAAAACAUAGCUUCUAGAAAUAAUUAGAAGUAAAAUCCUGCCCGGUGAAAGCAAUUUUAAACGGCCACAAUCGUGCUAAGGUAGUGUAAUCAGUUGUCCUUUUACUGAGGACUAGUAGAAAGGAAAAACGAGGCUCAACUGUCUCUAUUAAAAAAAUAAAAAUUAGUUUUUAGAGAAAAAAUCUAAAUGAAAUUAAAGG